CUAACGCAUUAACAUUCCGCCUGGGAGUACGUUCGCAAGAUUAAAACUCAAAGGAAUAGACGGGGACCCGCACAAGUGGUGGAGCAUGUGGUUUAAUUCGAAGAUACGCGAAGAACCUUACCUGGCCUUGACAUUGAUAGAAUCUGCUAGAGAUAGCGGAGUGCCCUUCGGGGAGCUUGAAAACAGGUGCUGCACGGCUGUCGUCAGCUCGUGUCGUGAGAUGUUGGGUUAAGUCCCGCAACGAGCGCAACCCUCGUCACUAGUUACUAACGGUUCGGCCGAGGACUCUAGUGAGACUGCCUUCGUAAGGAGGAGGAAGGUGAGGACGACGUCAAGUCAUCAUGGCCCUUACGGCCAGGGCGACACACGUGCUACAAUGGGAUGUACAAUGAGACGCAAUACCGCGAGGUGGAGCAAAUCUAUAAAGCAUCUCUCAGUUCGGAUUGUAGUCUGCAACUCGACUACAUGAAGCUGGAAUCACUAGUAAUCGUAGAUCAGCCAUGCUACGGUGAAUACGUUCCCGGGUCUUGUACUCACCGCCCGUCACACCAUGGGAGUUGAUUUCACCCGAAGCGGGGAAGCUAAACUGGCUACCCUCCACGGUGGAUCAGCGACUG
Molecule: ribosomal RNA, 617 nt
Filed under: uncultured Campylobacterota bacterium
Lineage: Bacteria; Pseudomonadati; Campylobacterota
Description: bacterial SSU rRNA
Rfam family: Bacterial small subunit ribosomal RNA
Source: RNAcentral